This 288-nucleotide small RNA is filed under the name Histoplasma capsulatum var. duboisii H88. RNAcentral describes it as "Histoplasma capsulatum H88 hypothetical RNA". The record is from RNAcentral. Lineage: Eukaryota; Fungi; Ascomycota; Eurotiomycetes; Onygenales; Ajellomycetaceae.
CGCGUUUUCUGCUCUACGCGUUCUCUGCUCUAUGUGUUCUCAUCUUGAUUCUAUCCACCAUGGAUGCAACCACCCUGCCCAUCCUGGGAUUGCAAUAUGUCUUCUACAGACAGUACAAAAAUAGGUGUAAAGUGAAAGCAAUCAGCCUCUGCAUGCUACCGAGUUGUUAUAAACCUGCGGCACGGCCCGGGGCUUAUUGGAUAAGAACCGAAGAGUGCAGGGAACAGACUUAUUGGAUAAGGACCAAAGAGUGCAGGAACAGAACAAUCCUUUACCAGAAAGUGGAGC